GUGGGGAAUAUUGGACAAUGGGCGAAAGCCUGAUCCAGCAAUGCCGCGUGCAGGAUGAAGGCCCUCGGGUUGUAAACUGCUUUUGUACGGAACGAAAAGCCUGGGGCUAAUAUCCCCGGGUCAUGACGGUACCGUAAGAAUAAGCACCGGCUAACUACGUGCCAGCAGCCGCGGUAAUACGUAGGGUGCAAGCGUUAAUCGGAAUUACUGGGCGUAAAGCGUGCGCAGGCGGUUUUGUAAGACAGUGGUGAAAUCCCCGGGCUCAACCUGGGAACUGCCAUUGUGACUGCAAGGCUAGAGUGCGGCAGAGGGGGAUGGAAUUCCGCGUGUAGCAGUGAAAUGCGUAGAUAUGCGGAGGAACACCGAUGGCGAAGGCAAUCCCCUGGGCCUGCACUGACGCUCAUGCACGAAAGCGUGGGGAGCAAACAGGAUUAGAAACCCGAGUAGUCC
RNAcentral lists this ribosomal RNA (450 nucleotides) under uncultured bacterium. RNAcentral describes it as "partial 16S ribosomal RNA". It matches the Rfam family "Bacterial small subunit ribosomal RNA", at positions 354 to 796 of the family's 1533-position model. The record is from RNAcentral.